RNAcentral lists this ribosomal RNA (380 nucleotides) under uncultured eukaryote. Its description in RNAcentral is "partial 18S ribosomal RNA". It matches the Rfam family "Eukaryotic small subunit ribosomal RNA", at positions 592 to 976 of the family's 1831-position model. The record is from RNAcentral.
CAAUAGCGUAUAUUAAAGUUGUUGCGGUUAAAAAGCUCGUAGUUGGAUUUCUGCCGAGGACGACCGGUCCGCCCUCCGGGUGAGUAUCUGGUUUGGCCUGGGCAUCUUCUUGGAGAACGUAGCUGCACUUGACUGUGUGGUGCGGUGUCCAGGACUUUUACUUUGAGGAAAUUAGAGUGUUUCAAGCAGGCACACGCCUUGAAUACAUUAGCAUGGAAUAAUAAGAUAGGACCUCGGUUCUAUUUUGUUGGUUUCUAGAGCUGAGGUAAUGAUUAAUAGGGAUAGUUGGGGGCAUUCGUAUUUAACUGUCAGAGGUGAAAUUCUGGGAUUUGUUAAAGACGGACUACUGCGAAAGCAUUUGCCAAGGAUGUUUUCAUUGA